This 433-nucleotide ribosomal RNA is filed under the name uncultured bacterium. RNAcentral describes it as "partial 16S ribosomal RNA". It matches the Rfam family "Bacterial small subunit ribosomal RNA", at positions 29 to 507 of the family's 1533-position model. The record is from RNAcentral.
AACGAACGCUGGCGGCAUGCCUAACACAUGCAAGUCGAACGAAAACUCCGGGACUAGUGGCGCACGGGUGUGUAACGCGUGGGAAGCUUCCCAUAUGUACGGCAUACCUCUCCGACAGGGGUGCUAAUACCGGAUAGUGUCUUCUGACCAAAGAUUUAUCGCCUUUGGUUGGGCCCGCGUGGGAUUAGCUAGUUGUGAGGGUAAUAGCAGACCAAGGGGCGCAUUCGUAGCUGGUAUGGGAGAAAGAUUAGCCACACUGGGACGGGGAAGCGGCCCAGAAUCCUACGCGAGGCGGCAGUGGGGGAUAGUGGAAAACGGCCGAAAGGAUGAUCCAGCAAGGACGGGAGAGCGAUGAAGGCAUGAGAGUUCUAAAGCUUUUUUAACCGGGAUGAUAAUGACAGUACCGGGAGAAUAAGCGCCGGCUAACUACGUG